This 562-nucleotide ribosomal RNA is filed under the name uncultured bacterium. RNAcentral describes it as "bacterial SSU rRNA". It matches the Rfam family "Bacterial small subunit ribosomal RNA", at positions 338 to 916 of the family's 1533-position model. The record is from RNAcentral.
CCUACGGGAGGCAGCAGUGGGGAAUCUUGCGCAAUGGGCGAAAGCCUGACGCAGCCAUGCCGCGUGAAUGAUGAAGGUCUUAGGAUUGUAAAAUUCUUUCACCGGGGACGAUAAUGACGGUACCCGGAGAAGAAGCCCCGGCUAACUUCGUGCCAGCAGCCGCGGUAAUACGAAGGGGGCUAGCGUUGCUCGGAAUUACUGGGCGUAAAGGGAGCGUAGGCGGAUAGUUUAGUCAGAGGUGAAAGCCCAGGGCUCAACCUUGGAAUUGCCUUUGAUACUGGCUAUCUUGAGUACGGGAGAGGUGUGUGGAACUCCGAGUGCAGAGGUGAAAUUCGUAGAUAUUCGGAAGAACACCAGUGGCGAAGGCGACACACUGGCCCAUUACUGACGCUGAGGCUCGAAAGCGUGGGGAGCAAACAGGAUUAGAUACCCUGGUAGUCCACGCCGUAAACGAUGAGUGCUAGUUGUCGGCAUGCAUGCAUGUCGGUGACGCAGCUAACGCAUUAAGCACUCCGCCUGGGGAGUACGGUCGCAAGAAUUAAAACUCAAAGGAAAUUGACGG